This is a long non-coding RNA of Prunus dulcis (almond), 170 nucleotides long. RefSeq lists it as uncharacterized. The record is from RefSeq and is a predicted model, not a curated record. Lineage: Eukaryota; Viridiplantae; Streptophyta; Magnoliopsida; Rosales; Rosaceae. The transcript has 2 exons.
CAGCAGGCGGGACCCUCUCAGGGUCAAGCAGCGUGGGACUACUUCCAGUAGUUGACUGAGCUCCGCAGCAGAGCCGGAUCGUGCGCUUCCGAGCCUUGAACCUUCGUAGGACUCUUUCUUCAUGUUAUUUCCUUUGAACUCUGUUUUGUUGAAAUUGAAGUUCUUAGACA